Molecule: long non-coding RNA, 560 nt
Organism: Nycticebus coucang (slow loris)
Lineage: Eukaryota; Metazoa; Chordata; Mammalia; Primates; Lorisidae
Exons: 3
Source: RefSeq, a predicted model, not a curated record
UGUAAGGCUGUGUUUACAAGCCCAGCUACACAGCCUACCAUUCAGUAACUGAGUGCAGAGGAUUUCAAGGAAGAGGAAAUUUGGAGUCCACACCAACACACAGAACACUCAAGCGGCAGAAGUUCUUAGCUUCUCUGGUCCUUUCUCCUAACUAACUAAAUGCUAAGUGGAGGAAGUGAAGUCUGGGAAGACAAACUGCAUUUGAAGUUCUUUUGUUAUUUUCUAAAAAGUUUCCAUUGGAGUUAUUUAAAUGGUGGCUGUGUCACUUCUGUUUGAAAAGUGUAGGAAUAUCCUGCUGUGUGAAUUGGAGGACUUGAACAAACAGAAUAUGACUCUGUGAAUACUGAUUUAUUGCUCAACACAAUGGUGUCUUAAUUGAAGAGCCACCUGUAUAGCAGUGGCAGAAUUUAAUUAUUAGGUUUACCAUUUUAAAAAAAUAAACAUUGAACAUGUAAUUUUUUUAAUAUGGAAACUUGCACUAUUCUGCAUCCUAAAUAGAGAACAAGCUUGCUUUUUUGUUGUUGAUGUUCAUGUGUAAAAUAUAUGAGUAUUAUUAUUUU